RNAcentral lists this ribosomal RNA (1432 nucleotides) under Naticarius hebraeus. RNAcentral describes it as "16S ribosomal RNA". The stretch from base 643 to 1432 matches the Rfam family "Archaeal large subunit ribosomal RNA", at positions 1424 to 2884 of the family's 2987-position model. The record is from RNAcentral. Lineage: Eukaryota; Metazoa; Mollusca; Gastropoda; Littorinimorpha; Naticidae.
AAAUAAAAAUCUUAAUUAAUAUUUAAUCAUAAUUAAAUUGUCAAGAAACAUCUAUUAAUAUUGUAAAGGAGAUUGAAACUUUAUUUAUCAAUAAUUUUUAAGUACUGAGAAGGAAACUUAUUAUUUUUUAAAAAGUAAUGAUUUUUUCAUGUACCUUUUGUAUCAUGGUUUAGCUAGAUUUAAUUUAGAAUUUAAAAUUCUCGAAACCUAAUGAGCUACUUUUAUUUAUUUAUUUUAGUAUAUAAAAACUAGUUGUAGCAAAAACUUUUUUAAAAAUAAAAGUAGAAAUGAAAUUUUAUCCGUAUUAGGUGAUAGCUAGUUCUUUUUUAAAGAUAUAGAAGUAUCAAAACUUAUAAAUAUAAAUUUAAAAUAUGUUAAAUUUAGUAUAUAAAGUUGGAUAAAUUUUUAAAGAUAAGCUUAAAAAUAAAUAAAAUUAUUUACAUUAAACUUUUUUGAAAUUUAAGCUUGAAAAUAGUUAAAAUUUUAAAAUUUGUUAUAAUUUAUUAAGAUUGAAAAGAAAAGAUAAAUAUGUAUAAAAUUUAAAAAAGAAUUAUUAAAAACAAGAAUAAUAAAUAUUAAUGCUAAAAUGAGUAUUUUAUCUAUAUAAUUUUUUUUGAUUAUUUAAAUAUCAAAAUUGUAAUUAUUUUUCUCAAAAAAUUUUUAUAAAGGAACUCGGCAAAUAUUUACUCUGCCUGUUUAUCAAAAACAUGGCUCCUUGUAAACUAAAAGAUAAGGAGUCGGACCUGCCCAGUGAUAUAUUAAUUCAUUAAUAAUUUUUUUUCUUGUUAUAUCUAUAAUGAUUGGUGGGUUUGGGCCAAGACCGAAGCUUGCGGCCGCGGUACCCUGACCGUGCAAAGGUAGCAUAAUCAUUUGCCCUAUAAUUGAGGGCUAGUAUGAAUGGUUUGACAAGAGUAAUACUGUCUCUAUAAAAAUUUCCUGAAUUUAUUUUUUAGGUGAAGAAUCCUAAAUAAAAUUAAAAGACAAGAAGACCCUAUCGAGCGUUAAAAUCUAUUUAUAAAAUAAGAARAAUUAUAAAAKAUUUUUAGUUAUAAAAAAUUUUGGUUGGGGCGACUAAGGAACAAAUAAAGCUUCUUAUAAUUUUAAAAAUCUAUAAAUAAUGAUCCAUUUAUUUAAUGAUUAAAAGAAUUAGUUACCGUAGGGAUAACAGCAUAAUCCAUUUUGAGAGUUCAUAUCGAAAAAUGGGUUUGUGACCUCGAUGUUGGACUAGAAUAUCCUACAAGAUGCAGAAGUCUUUAAGGGUUGGUCUGUUCGACCAUUAAAAUUCUACAUGAUCUGAGUUCAGACCGGCGUGAGCCAGGUCAGUUUCUAUCUUUAAUUUAAAAUUUAAAUUUAGUACGAAAGGACCAAUUUAAAACAAAAAUUGUUUAUUUUUGAUAACUUAUAAUUAUUUAAUAAAUAAAUUAAUAUAUAC